UUAGGAAUCUUGCGCAAUGGGCGAAAGCCUGACGCAGCCAUGCCGCGUGAAUGAUGAAGGUCUUAGGAUUGUAAAAUUCUUUCAGUGGGGAAGAUAAUGACGGUACCCACAGAAGAAGCUCCGGCUAACUUCGUGCCAGCAGCCGCGGUAAUACGAAGGGGGCUAGCGUUGCUCGGAAUUACUGGGCGUAAAGGGCGCGUAGGCGGACAGUUUAGUCAGAGGUGAAAGCCCAGGGCUCAACCUUGGAACUGCCUUUGAUACUGGCUGUCUUGAGUUCGGGAGAGGUGUGUGGAACGCCGAGUGUAGAGGUGAAAUUCGUAGAUAUUCGGCAGAACACCAGUGGCGAAGGCGACACACUGGCCCGAUACUGACGCUGAGGCGCGAAAGCGUGGGGAGCAAACAGG
RNAcentral lists this ribosomal RNA (404 nucleotides) under uncultured bacterium. RNAcentral describes it as "bacterial SSU rRNA". It matches the Rfam family "Bacterial small subunit ribosomal RNA", at positions 355 to 776 of the family's 1533-position model. The record is from RNAcentral.